RNAcentral lists this unclassified non-coding RNA (89 nucleotides) under Pseudomonas corrugata. The record is from RNAcentral. Lineage: Bacteria; Pseudomonadati; Pseudomonadota; Gammaproteobacteria; Pseudomonadales; Pseudomonadaceae.
UGUUGGAGCGAGCCUGCUCGCGAUGGCGGUGUGUCAGUCAUCCAUGCGUUGACUGACCGGCCACCAUCGCGAGCAGGCUCGCUCCCACA